CGAAUACCGGAGAAUGUUAUCACGGGAGACACACGGCGGGUGCUAACGUCCGUCGUGAAGAGGGAAACAACCCAGACCGCCAGCUAAGGUCCCAAAGUCAUGGUUAAGUGGGAAACGAUGUGGGAAGGCCCAGACAGCCAGGAUGUUGGCUUAGAAGCAGCCAUCAUUUAAAGAAAGCGUAAUAGCUCACUGGUCGAGUCGGCCUGCGCGGAAGAUGUAACGGGGCUAAACCAUGCACCGAAGCUGCGGCAGCGACGCUUAUGCGUUGUUGGGUAGGGGAGCGUUCUGUAAGCCUGCGAAGGUGUGCUGUGAGGCAUGCUGGAGGUAUCAGAAGUGCGAAUGCUGACAUAAGUAACGAUAAAGCGGGUGAAAAGCCCGCUCGCCGGAAGACCAAGGGUUCCUGUCCAACGUUAAUCGGGGCAGGGUGAGUCGACCCCUAAGGCGAGGCCGAAAGGCGUAGUCGAUGGGAAACAGGUUAAUAUUCCUGUACUUGGUGUUACUGCGAAGGGGGGACGGAGAAGGCUAUGUUGGCCGGGCGACGGUUGUCCCGGUUUAAGCGUGUAGGCUGGUUUUCCAGGCAAAUCCGGAAAAUCAAGGCUGAGGCGUGAUGACGAGGCACUACGGUGCUGAAGCAACAAAUGCCCUGCUUCCAGGAAAAGCCUCUAAGCAUCAGGUAACAUCAAAUCGUACCCCAAACCGACACAGGUGGUCAGGUAGAGAAUACCAAGGCGCUUGAGAGAACUCGGGUGAAGGAACUAGGCAAAAUGGUGCCGUAACUUCGGGAGAAGGCACGCUGAUAUGUAGGUGAAGCGACUUGCUCGUGGAGCUGAAAUCAGUCGAAGAUACCAGCUGGCUGCAACUGUUUAUUAAAAACACAGCACUGUGCAAACACGAAAGUGGACGUAUACGGUGUGACGCCUGCCCGGUGCCGGAAGGUUAAUUGAUGGGGUUAGCGCAAGCGAAGCUCUUGAUCGAAGCCCCGGUAAACGGCGGCCGUAACUAUAACGGUCCUAAGGUAGCGAAAUUCCUUGUCGGGUAAGUUCCGACCUGCACGAAUGGCGUAAUGAUGGCCAGGCUGUCUCCACCCGAGACUCAGUGAAAUUGAACUCGCUGUGAAGAUGCAGUGUACCCGCGGCAAGACGGAAAGACCCCGUGAACCUUUACUAUAGCUUGACACUGAACAUUGAGCCUUGAUGUGUAGGAUAGGUGGGAGGCUUUGAAGUGUGGACGCCAGUCUGCAUGGAGCCGACCUUGAAAUACCACCCUUUAAUGUUUGAUGUUCUAACGUUGACCCGUGAUCCGGGUUGCGGACAGUGUCUGGUGGGUAGUUUGACUGGGGCGGUCUCCUCCUAAAGAGUAACGGAGGAGCACGAAGGUUGGCUAAUCCUGGUCGGACAUCAGGAGGUUAGUGCAAUGGCAUAAGCCAGCUUGACUGCGAGCGUGACGGCGCGAGCAGGUGCGAAAGCAGGUCAUAGUGAUCCGGUGGUUCUGAAUGGAAGGGCCAUCGCUCAACGGAUAAAAGGUACUCCGGGGAUAACAGGCUGAUACCGCCCAAGAGUUCAUAUCGACGGCGGUGUUUGGCACCUCGAUGUCGGCUCAUCACAUCCUGGGGCUGAAGUAGGUCCCAAGGGUAUGGCUGUUCGCCAUUUAAAGUGGUACGCGAGCUGGGUUUAGAACGUCGUGAGACAGUUCGGUCCCUAUCUGCCGUGGGCGCUGGAGAACUGAGGGGGGCUGCUCCUAGUACGAGAGGACCGGAGUGGACGCAUCACUGGUGUUCGGGUUGUCAUGCCAAUGGCACUGCCCGGUAGCUAAAUGCGGAAGAGAUAAGUGCUGAAAGCAUCUAAGCACGAAACUUGCCCCGAGAUGAGUUCUCCCUGACCCUUUAAGGGUCCUGAAGGAACGUUGAAGACGACGACGUUGAUAGGCCGGGUGUGUAAGCGCAGCGAUGCGUUGAGCUAACCGGUACUAAUGAACCGUGAGGCUUAACCUUACAACGCCGAAGGUGUUU
RNAcentral lists this ribosomal RNA (2008 nucleotides) under Escherichia coli. RNAcentral describes it as "partial 23S ribosomal RNA". It matches the Rfam family "Bacterial large subunit ribosomal RNA", at positions 957 to 2925 of the family's 2925-position model. The record is from RNAcentral. Lineage: Bacteria; Pseudomonadati; Pseudomonadota; Gammaproteobacteria; Enterobacterales; Enterobacteriaceae.